CCUAACAUCUAGCCCACACACCACCACCUACUUAUAACCCAAAUAAAACAUUUUCACCUUCUAGUAGGGGAGACCGAAAAAUUGAUAGACGCCUUAGACUAAGUACCGAAAGGGAAUGAUGAAAUAAUAGUGAAAUAGCUUAAGCUCUUCACAGCAAAGCUUAUCCCUUGUACCUUUUGCAUCAUGGUCAAGCCAGUUCAACUAAGCAAAAAGCAAUUUUAGUUUAACCUCCCGAAACUGGGUGAGCUACUUUAAAACAGUUUUAUAGAACAAACCCUUCUCUGUCGCAAAAGAGUGGGAAGAUUUUUUAGUAGCAGUGAAAAGCUUACCGGACCCAGAGAUAGCUGGUUGUCUAAGAAAAGAAUCUGAGUUCAGCCUCAAGGUUAAAUAUACCCACAAAUAAUACCCAAACCUUAAGAGUUAUUCAAAUAGGGUACAGCCUAUUUGACCUAGGACACAGCCUCCAACACAGGGUAACAUUUAUUAUACCAAAAAGUAGGCCUGAAAGCAGCCAAAAACGCGUUAAAGCCUCCCACCACUAACCACACCUAAUACCUCUCACCCCCACCAACCCUUAAUGACUAUUAGACGACUCCAUGAUUCCCCAUGGAAGACAUUAUGCUUGAACUAGUAACAAGAAUAUGUUAUUCUCCUAAAUAUAUGUAUAAGCCGCAAUAGACUAACCAACGGCAAUUAACGCCAAUAAAUUUACUGCAGCAACCCCAAGAGAAUCCUGCAAAAUUAAACGUUAAUCUUACACAAGAAUAUUUCAGGAAAGAUUAAAAGGCGGAGAAGGAACUCGGCAAAUAAUAACCCCGCCUGUUUACCAAAAACAUCGCCUCUUGCUUAAACAUAAGAGGUCCAGCCUGCCCAGUGACUUUUCAACGGCCACGGUACCCUAACCGUGCUAAGGUAGCGCAAUUACUUGUCCUUUAAAUGAGGACCCGAAUGAAUGGCAUCACGAGGGUUAUACUGUCUCCUCCACCCAAUCAGUGAAACUGACCUCCCUGUGAAAAGGCAGGAAUAAAAAUAUUAGACGAGAAGACCCCAUGGAGCUUCAGACUCUGAGCAAGUCAAACAUCCAAGUCCAAGACUUAUGCCUCCAGAGUCUUCGGCUGGGGCGACCAUGGAGUAAAAAUUAACCUCCACGCCGAAUGGGUAACCCCCUCAUCUACGAGCAACAUCUCUAAGAAACAGAACACUGACGCCCACUGAUCCGGACCCCGAUCAACGAACCAAGUUACCCUGGGGAUAACAGCGCUAUCUGCCCCAAGAGUUCAUAUCGCCGGGCGGGUUUACGACCUCGAUGUUGGAUCAGGGUAUCCUGGUGGCGCAGCCGCUACAUAAGGUUCGUUGUCA
Molecule: ribosomal RNA, 1359 nt
Filed under: Platymantis sp. SR2639
Lineage: Eukaryota; Metazoa; Chordata; Amphibia; Anura; Ceratobatrachidae
Description: partial 16S ribosomal RNA
Rfam family: Bacterial large subunit ribosomal RNA
Source: RNAcentral